UACGAAGGGGGCUAGCGUUGUUCGGAAUCACUGGGCGUAAAGCGCACGUAGGCGGAUCUUUAAGUCAGGGGUGAAAUCCCGAGGCUCAACCUCGGAACUGCCUUUGAUACUGGGGAUCUCGAGUCCGGGAGAGGUGAGUGGAACUGCGAGUGUAGAGGUGAAAUUCGUAGAUAUCGAGAGGAACACCUGUGGCGAAGGCGGCCAACUGGACGAGUACUGACGCUGAGACACGAAAGCGUGGGGAGCAAACAGG
RNAcentral lists this ribosomal RNA (253 nucleotides) under uncultured bacterium. Its description in RNAcentral is "partial 16S ribosomal RNA". It matches the Rfam family "Bacterial small subunit ribosomal RNA", at positions 524 to 776 of the family's 1533-position model. The record is from RNAcentral.